AUCCUCAGACCCCUUGUGAGACCAUAUGCUGGUGCGGUUGGCCCUGGGUUCCUCCUAAAGCAAGACAAUGCUAGAUCUCAUGUGGCUGGAGUGUGUCAGCAGUUCCUGAAGAGGAAGUCAUUGAUGCUAUGGAUAAAUUUGAUUUCCAUUGAUCAUUUUUGUGUGAUUUUGUUGUCAGCACAUUCAACUAUGUAAAGAAAGGAGUAGUGUAUUUCAUACUUCAGUUAGUAGAAACUGUGUCAGUCUCAGGACUGCCCCUACGGUAAAGUGAUUCCAGUGAAAGCCACAGCAGGUCAUGAACUCAUGUACUACGGGAAAAGUGUAGUUUCUCUAGAAUUUUAAAUGAAUAUUUCAACCAAAGACUAAUGUGUUUAGCUGUAAUUGUCUCCUCCCUCAGGAUUACCUGAUGUCAGAGCACAGGCUGGUGCAUGGUGAUGUUGCUGCCAGGAAAAUCGUUAUUUGCCCAGGCCUCUCAGCCUGGGUGUCUGGGCUAGGUGUGGCAUUUGGAGGACGCAGAAUGGAUUUAGCAAUUAGGCAGAGAGCAGCAGAGGUGCCUCUCAAAUGGCAGGCUCCAGAGAGGAUUAUGAUGCAGAUCAGUAUCAACAGGAGCAACGUGCUCUACUCCAUAUCCUGAGAUGGAGACCCCUUCUGUGCUUCCAAAGCUACAGGGGUCUUAUCGGAUGAAGAGACCAGACAAUUGUGGAGGACCUUUUAUCCCUGCACAAAUAAGGGUUGGUAAACUUGAAAUGGAUUGGUCCACAUUGUCACUGGCUGAACUCCAUAUGGUAUGGGCUGAUACUGGUAAGGCAUUUUAUCUGAUGCUACACUAUAGCAUUUUGGAGUCCCAAGGUGAUCAAAGGUGAAGAUUUUUUGGGCUCGUCUUUCCCUCUUUGGUAAGGCAUAUUCUUGCGCUCUGUGUUUUUUACCUGAAUCUGGUUGUGGGGUGGAGUUUCAUCCUUUGCAUCUCCAACUGAUUGUACAUCUUCCCUCCGAUUAUCUUCUUCCUGUGGCACAUCUUCCAACUGUGUCUCAAACUCAUUUGUGCUUGCUAUGUGUUUUUCUCCAACCAAUGACCUAUCAUCGCUCAGCACUGGUGUUUCUUGGCCACUAUCUGCUUGUGUGUUGGCAUGCUCAAUGCCUCUUUCUGCUUUGGGCUGUAUUACAGGCUAGAAAUAGUAACCGCAUUCCUCUUCAGCAUCUUCCUCGUCCUGGUUUGUACUUUCUACAUCUGUCCCAAUCAUCCUUCUUUUCUGCUGCUUAGAUGGUGCCUUUUGCUGGAUUUCCAGAGGUAAGUGGUCACAUGGUAGCAGCAGGUUGCAAUGCAUGAUUCUCGAUCUUCCUCUUCCCUGCUCAGGUUUGACUUGGGGAUGUCUUCUCCAACCUGACGGAUCACCACGUGAAUGUUGUCUUCCCAGGGAUUACGAAGUUUUCCAGUGCCUCCUCUAGGUGUCAGAUUUCAAACAAGGACACGAUUACAGUGAUGCAACACUGAGCUUCUCACUUUUCCAUAAUAACGCCUCUUACUUCUCUCUGCCGACUUCUUUGCAUUCUCUUGUACUAUCUCAUGCCUCCUACAUUUCUUGUUUCCACUUCUCCAUGUAGGUUUGAUGAUCUGUUUUUCCUGUCUCUGUGGUGAAACCAAAUAGGAGAUCAAUAGGCAACCUUGGAGACCUUCCGAAUAGAAGGUAAAAAGGGGAGAAACCAGUUACUUCACAUUGUGUACAGUUUUAAGCAUAGAUCAAUUUGUUCAAGAAUUGUUUCCAGUUCGUCUUUUGUUUAUCUGUAAGUGUCUUUAGCAUUUGCAGUGAUGUGCGGUUGAAACAUUUGUCUUCCCCAUUUCCUUGUGGAUGACAGGGUGUCGUUCGUGAUCCUAGUACCCCACAGUUGUUUUUCAGCUGGGCGAAGAGCUGGUUCUCAGAUUUGCCACCUUGAUGGUGGUGUAUCCGCAGUGGCAGUCCAAACUUCAGAGCAUAGUCGUUAAAUAUUCGAUCAGCGACAGUUUCAAUAUAUAUUCGUACCCACCUCCACAUUUGUCCAGGUGGAGAAAAUCUAUUGACACCAGUUCAAAUGGCUGCAUAGUAACGAUACUGGUAAGAGGUGAAGGUGUUUCUUUACAUGGUGUCUUUUGUUUCAGGCAUGUACAGGUCCUCGCCACAUAAUGUUCAAUGUCUUUUUGCAUGUAAUGCCAAAAGAAUCUAUCCCUGAUCAGUGAUGUUGUUAGAUCAAUGCCUUGGUGUGCCAUCUCAUCAUGCAACUCUUUUAGUACGAUGGUUUUAUACUUCUCAGGAUAUACAAGUUGUGUCUUGUUUGUUGUCUUCAUACGAAGAAUGCCAUCAUCAAUAUGAAGUCUUUCCCAUUCACGCAGUAGAAGCUUGCUUUGCAUACUGAGGGUGUUAAGUUCACGUCCUGUUGGCUUUUUGUCUCUCAAUUUGCACUGUAUUACUGGACCAAUGUUUUCAUCCUCUUGCUGUGCUUGUUGAAUCUCAGUAACUAAUAG
Molecule: long non-coding RNA, 2497 nt
Organism: Micropterus salmoides (largemouth bass)
Lineage: Eukaryota; Metazoa; Chordata; Actinopteri; Centrarchiformes; Centrarchidae
Exons: 3
Source: RefSeq, a predicted model, not a curated record